ACUCCUACGGGAGGCAGCAGUGGGGAAUCUUAGACAAUGGGGGCAACCCUGAUCUAGCCAUGCCGCGUGAGUGAUGAAGGCCUUAGGGUCGUAAAGCUCUUUCGCCUGUGAUGAUAAUGACAGUAGCAGGUAAAGAAACCCCGGCUAACUCCGUGCCAGCAGCCGCGGUAAUACGGAGGGGUUAGCGUUGUUCGGAAUUACUGGGCGUAAAGCGCGCGUAGGCGGACUGGAAAGUUGGGGGUGAAAUCCCAGGGCUCAACCCUGGAACGGCCUCCAAAACUCCCAGUCUGGAGUUCGAGAGAGGUGAGUGGAAUUCCGAGUGUAGAGGUGAAAUUCGUAGAUAUUCGGAGGAACACCAGUGGCGAAGGCGGCUCACUGGCUCGAUACUGACGCUGAGGUGCGAAAGUGUGGGGAGCAAACAGGAUUAGAUACCCUGGUAGGUGA
This 444-nucleotide ribosomal RNA is filed under the name uncultured bacterium. Its description in RNAcentral is "bacterial SSU rRNA". It matches the Rfam family "Bacterial small subunit ribosomal RNA", at positions 335 to 797 of the family's 1533-position model. The record is from RNAcentral.